This 506-nucleotide ribosomal RNA is filed under the name uncultured bacterium. RNAcentral describes it as "partial 16S ribosomal RNA". It matches the Rfam family "Bacterial small subunit ribosomal RNA", at positions 29 to 523 of the family's 1533-position model. The record is from RNAcentral.
AGUGAACGCUGGCGGUAGGCCUAACACAUGCAAGUCGAACGGCAGCACAGAGGAGCUUGCUCCUUGGGUGGCGAGUGGCGGACGGGUGAGGAAUACAUCGGAAUCUACUCUGUCGUGGGGGAUAACGUAGGGAAACUUACGCUAAUACCGCAUACGACCUACGGGUGAAAGCAGGGGACCUUCGGGCCUUGCGCGAUUGAAUGAGCCGAUGUCGGAUUAGCUAGUUGGCGGGGUAAAGGCCCACCAAGGCGACGAUCCGUAGCUGGUCUGAGAGGAUGAUAGGCCACACUGGAACUGAGACACGGUCCAGACUCCUACGGGAGGCAGCAGUGGGGAAUAUUGGACAAUGGGCGCAAGCCUGAUCCAGCCAUACCGCGUGGGUGAAGAAGGCCUUCGGGUUGUAAAGCCCUUUUGUUGGGAAAGAAAUCCAGCUGGCUAAUACCCUGUUGGGAUGACGGUACCCAAAGAAUAAGCACCGGCUAACUUCGUGCCAGCAGCCGCCGUAA